CAGCAGUAGCCGCGGUAAUACGUAGGUGGCAAGCGUUGUCCGGAAUUAUUGGGCGUAAAGGGCUCGCAGGCGGUUUCUUAAGUCUGAUGUGAAAGCCCCCGGCUCAACCGGGGAGGGUCAUUGGAAACUGGGAAACUUGAGUGCAGAAGAGGAGAGUGGAAUUCCACGUGUAGCGGUGAAAUGCGUAGAGAUGUGGAGGAACACCAGUGGCGAAGGCGACUCUCUGGUCUGUAACUGACGCUGAGGAGCGAAAGCGUGGGGAGCGAACAGGAUUAGAUACCCCCGUAGUCCCUGUCUCUUAUAC
Molecule: ribosomal RNA, 304 nt
Filed under: uncultured bacterium
Lineage: Bacteria
Description: partial 16S ribosomal RNA
Rfam family: Bacterial small subunit ribosomal RNA
Source: RNAcentral